This 279-nucleotide ribosomal RNA is filed under the name uncultured bacterium. Its description in RNAcentral is "partial 16S ribosomal RNA". It matches the Rfam family "Bacterial small subunit ribosomal RNA", at positions 506 to 784 of the family's 1533-position model. The record is from RNAcentral.
UGCCAGCCGCCGCGGUAAUACGGAGGGUGCGAGCGUUAAUCGGAAUUACUGGGCGUAAAGCGCACGCAGGCGGUUUGUUAAGCUAGAUGUGAAAGCCCCGGGCUCAACCUGGGAUGGUCAUUUAGAACUGGCAGACUAGAGUCUUGGAGAGGGGAGUGGAAUUCCAGGUGUAGCGGUGAAAUGCGUAGAUAUCUGGAGGAACAUCAGUGUCGAAGGCGGCUCCCUGGCCAAAGACUGACGCUCAUUUGCUAACGUUUGGGUCGAGAACAGUCUUCGCUC